Molecule: long non-coding RNA, 601 nt
Filed under: Mytilus galloprovincialis (Mediterranean mussel)
Lineage: Eukaryota; Metazoa; Mollusca; Bivalvia; Mytilida; Mytilidae
Source: RNAcentral
GGGAGACAAUCAGUAAAUAUGUACGAUUUAUUCACCUUUGGACAGUUUCUAAAUAAUCCUUGAAAAUCUGUUGUUAGAGAUUGAAAAAAGUACAUUAAACGUACAAGUAUCGUAUUUUCAGACACAUUGGAAACUUUUAAGGCAAAUAUCACCUUGAUCUACAUAAUAAUACUCGUUUACAUUGUGUAAGGAAUGUCUGAUCUAGGCAAACAUACACAAACGGAUUUAUAAUGUUGUUGAGUAGAAAACAUCUGGAUAAAAUUGGAAUAAUUCCUUUGAUGACACUAUCUGACUUGUACUGACCGGUAGAAAGGGCGGAGACCAAUUUCACUGUUAUAUAAGGUAAAUAACUUAAAAUGAAGGCAAUACUUAUAACAAAUGCAGUUUUUGUCACUUUUCUUGAUUCCCGAUUUCUUUGCGAAGUGUUCCUUUGUCUUUGGAGAGAUUUCUUACCGGAGCCGGAAGAAUUACCUUUUAUUUUUUGACUAACAGUUUUGUUUGAAAAGCUACUUUCAUCUUCUAAUUCAACUAUUUGAACACCACUUGAUUCAUUAGAGAUGUCUAUCUGCAGAUGUGAAGACUUUGUUGACUUGAAAUUUCC